CCGCACAAGGCAGUGGAGGCAUGUGGUUUUAAUUCGAAGCAACGCGAAGAACCUUACCAGGUCUUGACAUCCUCUGACAAUCCUGGAGACAGGACGUUCACCUUCGGGGGACAGAGUGACAGGUGGUGCAUGGUUGUCGUCAGCUCGUGUCGUGAGAUGUUGGGUUAAGUCCCGCAACGAGCGCAACCCUUGAUCUUAGUUGCCAGCAUUCAGUUGGGCACUCUAAGGUGACUGCCGGUGACAAACCGGAGGAAGGUGGGGAUGACGUCAAAUCAUCAUGCCCCUUAUGACCUGGGCUACACACGUGCUACAAUGGACGGUACAAAGGGCAGCGACACCGCGAGGUGAAGCAAAUCCCAUAAAGCCGUUCUCAGUUCGGAUUGCAGGCUGCAACUCGCCUGCAUGAAGCCGGAAUUGCUAGUAAUCGCGGAUCAGCAUGCCGCGGUGAAUACGUUCCCGGGCCUUGUACACACCGCCCGUCACACCACGAGAGUUUGUAACACCCGAAGUCGGUGGGGUAACCUUUAUGGAGCCAGCCGCCGAAGGUGGGACAAAUGUUUGAGGGUGAAGUCGUAACAAGGU
Molecule: ribosomal RNA, 582 nt
Filed under: uncultured Bacillus sp.
Lineage: Bacteria; Bacillati; Bacillota; Bacilli; Caryophanales; Bacillaceae
Description: bacterial SSU rRNA
Rfam family: Bacterial small subunit ribosomal RNA
Source: RNAcentral